UGGACCGAAUUUUAAAGUAGGGAAGCUGAUGAAGGCACUGCCAAGAAAAGCCGCUAUUGUUUUUUAUAAGCCCGUACCGUAAACCGACACAGGUGGAUGAGGAGAGAAUCCUAAGGCCGACGGGAGAAGCAUUGUUAAGGAACUCGGCAAAAUGACCCCGUAACUUCGGGAGAAGGGGUGCCUGUAGAAAUACAGGCCGCAGAGAAUUGGCCCAAGCAACUGUUUAGCAAAAACACAGGUCUAUGCAAAACCGUAAGGUGAAGUAUAUGGGCUGACGCCUGCCCGGUGCUGGAAGGUUAAGGGGAGAUGUUAGGAGCAAUCCGAAGCGUUGAACUUAAGCCCCAGUAAACGGCGGCCGUAACUAUAACGGUCCUAAGGUAGCGAAAUUCCUUGUCGGGUAAGUUCCGACCCGCACGAAAGGCGUAAUGAUUUGGGCACUGUCUCGACAAUGCACCCGGUGA
This is a ribosomal RNA of Anaerocolumna jejuensis DSM 15929, 461 nucleotides long. It matches the Rfam family "Bacterial large subunit ribosomal RNA", at positions 1567 to 2039 of the family's 2925-position model. The record is from Rfam. NCBI's taxonomy places the organism in Bacteria, Bacillati, Bacillota, Clostridia, Lachnospirales, Lachnospiraceae.